GAUGAAGAACGUAGCGAAAUGCGAUACGUAAUGUGAAUUGCAGAAUUCAGUGAAUCAUCGAGUCUUUGAACGCACAUUGCGCCCCCUGGUAUUCCGGGGGGCAUGCCUGUCCGAGCGUCAUUGCUGCCCUCAAGCACGGCUUGUGUGUUGGGCCUCCGUCCUCCUCCCGGGGGACGGGCCCGAAAGGCAGCGGCGGCACCGCGUCCGGUCCUCGAGCGUAUGGGGCUUCGUCACCCGCUCUUGUAGGCCCGGCCGGCGCUUGCCGACACAUCAAUCUUUUUUCCAGGUUGACCUCGGAUCAGGUAGGGAUACCCGCUGAACCUAAGCAUAUCAAUAAGCGGAGGA
RNAcentral lists this unclassified non-coding RNA (345 nucleotides) under soil metagenome. Its description in RNAcentral is "partial contains 5.8S ribosomal RNA, internal transcribed spacer 2, and large subunit ribosomal RNA". The stretch from base 1 to 120 matches the Rfam family "5.8S ribosomal RNA", at positions 35 to 154 of the family's 154-position model. The record is from RNAcentral.